This 854-nucleotide ribosomal RNA is filed under the name Nothophoma acaciae. Its description in RNAcentral is "eukaryotic LSU rRNA". It matches the Rfam family "Eukaryotic large subunit ribosomal RNA", at positions 68 to 940 of the family's 3401-position model. The record is from RNAcentral. Lineage: Eukaryota; Fungi; Ascomycota; Dothideomycetes; Pleosporales; Didymellaceae.
ACAGGGAUUGCCCUAGUAACGGCGAGUGAAGCGGCAACAGCUCAAAUUUGAAAUCUGGCGUCUUCGGCGUCCGAGUUGUAAUUUGCAGAGGGCGCUUUGGCAUUGGCAGCGGUCCAAGUUCCUUGGAACAGGACGUCACAGAGGGUGAGAAUCCCGUACGUGGUCGCUAGCCUUUACCGUGUAAAGCCCCUUCGACGAGUCGAGUUGUUUGGGAAUGCAGCUCUAAAUGGGAGGUAAAUUUCUUCUAAAGCUAAAUACUGGCCAGAGACCGAUAGCGCACAAGUAGAGUGAUCGAAAGAUGAAAAGCACUUUGGAAAGAGAGUUAAAAAGCACGUGAAAUUGUUGAAAGGGAAGCGCUUGCAGCCAGACUUGCCUGUAGUUGCUCAUCCGGGUUUCUACCCGGUGCACUCUUCUACAGGCAGGCCAGCAUCAGUUUGGGCGGUUGGAUAAAGGUCUCUGUCAUGUACCUCUCUUCGGGGAGAACUUAUAGGGGAGACGACAUGCAACCAGCCUGGACUGAGGUCCGCGCAUCUGCUAGGAUGCUGGCGUAAUGGCUGUAAGCGGCCCGUCUUGAAACACGGACCAAGGAGUCUAACAUCUAUGCGAGUGUUUGGGUGUCAAGCCCGAGCGCGUAAUGAAAGUGAACGGAGGUGGGAACCUUUCGGGGUGCACCAUCGACCGAUCCUGAUGUCUUCGGAUGGAUUUGAGUAAGAGCAUAGCUGUUGGGACCCGAAAGAUGGUGAACUAUGCUUGAAUAGGGUGAAGCCAGAGGAAACUCUGGUGGAGGCUCGCAGCGGUUCUGACGUGCAAAUCGAUCGUCAAAUUUGGGCAUAGGGGCGAAAGACUAAUCGAAC